RNAcentral lists this ribosomal RNA (183 nucleotides) under Acipenser ruthenus (sterlet). RNAcentral's name for it is "partial ribosomal RNA". The record is from RNAcentral. Lineage: Eukaryota; Metazoa; Chordata; Actinopteri; Acipenseriformes; Acipenseridae.
UAAAACCCAAAGGACUUGGCGGUGCCCAGACCCUCCUAGAGGAGCCUGUUCUAGAACCGAUAAUCCCCGUUAAACCUCACCACUUCUUGUCAUUCCGCCUAUAUACCGCCGUCGUCAGCUUACCCUGUGAAGACUAAUAGUAAGCAAAAAUGGCACACCCAAAACGUUAGGUCGAGGUGUAGC